AUUGAACGCUAGCGGGAUGCCUAACACAUGCAAGUCGAACGAAGUGGCGAACGGGUGAGUAAUGUAUAGGAACGUGCCCAGUAGAGGGGGAUAACUACGCGAAAGCGUAGCUAAUACCGUAUCCUAUUGGAUGGGCCGUUAUCGGGUUAGCUAGUUGGUAGGGUAACGGCUCACCAAGGCGGCGAUCCGUAGCUGGAUUGCGAGGACGACCAGCCACACUGGGACUGAGACACGGCCCAGACUCCUACUGGAGGCAGCAGUGGGGAAUUUUGGACAAUGGGCGAAACCCUGAUCCAGCCAUCCCGCGUGUGCGAUGAAGGCCUUCGGGUUGUAAAGCACUGUUGGCAGGAAAGCGGUACCUGCUGAAUAAGCACCGGCUAACUACGUGCCAGCAGCCGCGGUAAUUC
This 407-nucleotide ribosomal RNA is filed under the name uncultured bacterium. RNAcentral's name for it is "partial 16S ribosomal RNA". It matches the Rfam family "Bacterial small subunit ribosomal RNA", at positions 30 to 526 of the family's 1533-position model. The record is from RNAcentral.